This 292-nucleotide small RNA is filed under the name Dipodomys ordii (Ord's kangaroo rat). RNAcentral's name for it is "Metazoan signal recognition particle RNA (ENSDORG00000026786.1)". It matches the Rfam family "Metazoan signal recognition particle RNA", at positions 1 to 219 of the family's 299-position model. From Rfam's summary of the family: The signal recognition particle (SRP) is a universally conserved ribonucleoprotein. It is involved in the co-translational targeting of proteins to membranes. The record is from RNAcentral. Lineage: Eukaryota; Metazoa; Chordata; Mammalia; Rodentia; Heteromyidae.
GCCGGGUACAGUGGCAGGCAUCUGUAAUCCCAGAUACUUGGUAGGCUGAACCUAGAGGAUUGUUUGAGUUCAGGAGUUUUGGGCUGCAGUGCGCUAUGCCGAUCAGGUGUCCGCACUAAGUUCGGCAUCAAUAUUGUGACCUCCCGGGAGCGGGGGAACACCAAGUUGCCUAAGGAGGGGUGAACCAGCCCAGGUCGGAAAAAACAAGAUCCUUCUAUCUGCUGCCUUCAGGAGCCACACCUUGCCCAUAAAAACAAACACAUUUUGAAAGUAAAAGGCAGGAAUAAAAUCU